AGGUGUGGAGAGAGGCGGCAGCCACGCCGUGAAGGACCUUUCACCCAGCUAAGAAAAUGAAGUUUUAUUCUGCAAAUAAUGGGGAUCCACCGAAGGAGUUUUCCUCCCUAUGUACUGGGCUCUGCUGUGUGUUGAGGUGCUCUUUAGAAAUCUAUCUUCAAUGAAAACUUGAUAUUCUUACUGUCGGGUUCAGAUAGAUACUUGGCUUCCAUAUCCGCUCCUUUGUCUGAUUCCCGAUCGCAUUGCAACCCGAAACACUAAAACAUCCAAAGAGUCUAGAUCCACAUUUCUAACUCUCCAAGUGACCUUUUACAACACUCUUAUUAAGUAGUUUAAUUACUAGUGUAAAAUUUUAGAAACUCGACACACUAUCAAACGUAGGUAGAAUUGUACAGCACUAGAGCCGAGAGAGCUAUCUCUGGGACCACUUAGUCUUGCUCCUGACAUGAGUCAGCUCACGCUGCCAUAGCUCAAUACCUUAGACUGGCUGGCGUAAGCAACCAGUUGGUUUUCUUACGCUUCUGGAGGCUGCAAAUCUGAGGGCAGGGUGUCAGCUGGGUGGCUCCUGGUGGGGGCCCUCUCCCUGGCUUGCAGAUGGUUGCCUUUGGCUGUGUCCUCACGUAGUGGAGAGGGUGAGCCCGUGCUAAUCUGUUCCUCGUGUAAGGAAAUGAAUCCCAUCAUGGGGGUCCCACCUUCACGGCCUCAUCUAAAUCCAGUUACCUCUCGUGGGCCCCAUCCCCGAAUGCCCACCCACAUUGCAGCUUCCGCCUUCCACAAGUACAUUUGGAGGCGGAGGCACAGCAUUUAACCCGUAACACUGCUCCUAAUCAUCACCCAGGGACUGUGAGAAACAACAGUUGGUGUCAGGGCCCCGCCUGGUUUAGCUGGUCCGGGGUAGAACCCUGGCCUUGAGGUUUUUUUGUUUUUAAAGCUUCCUGAGUGACGCUGAUGUCCAGCCAGGAUUGAGCGCUCCUGAGUUCAUCCAAAGGCAGGGCCUGUUUCCACAGUAUCUUUGGCAACUAGUUGUAUUGUUUCCUCUUGAAUAUCACAUCGUUCCUUUAGUCUUGAAGGAGAGUUUUAUUUCAGUCAAGUUCGUAUCAGCGUCCGUCCAUUUAUUCUACAUCUGCCCUUUGGAAUAAUACCAAUUUAUAUAAAUGAUAUAAAUUUAGUAUUUCUUUGCAUUGACAGCCUUUCAUACUUAUAAUCACUGUAUCACGGUUCCUUUAAACCUUGUUUUCAUCAGGCCAAAUGUUCCUAAUUUCUACAACUUUUUCUCUUACCACUUGCUUUUAAAUUCGGUGCUCUGAACACAGAAUUCUGGAUAUGUACUGUUUGGGAUAUAAUAAAGUAGUUAUUUUCUUCUUUGACAUUGACUUUCUGUUCUUCCAAGUUCUUCCUAAAUUUGCACUUUUUUCUCUAGCCAUUGCACAGCAUAAUGCCAUAUAAAUUAUUUUGUAUUUUGUAUAACUGUUUUCUCACCAUUUGGGUUGGGGUUGGCUUUAUCAGGUAUUGACCAAUGAAAACAAUUCUAUUAAAUGUGAAUCUGGACUCUCUUUGUCAGGAUGAUGAAAUAUAAUAAGCCUCUUUGCCCAACUCCCAUGGAAUAGAAAGAGGUUUUGGGACUGUCAGAAGUUUAAACCAGUGUAAGUCAUUCCUAAAAGAAACACCAUUCACUCAAGAUA
Phyllostomus discolor (pale spear-nosed bat) is the source of this 1682-nucleotide long non-coding RNA. RefSeq lists it as uncharacterized. Lineage: Eukaryota; Metazoa; Chordata; Mammalia; Chiroptera; Phyllostomidae. The transcript has 2 exons. The record is from RefSeq and is a predicted model, not a curated record.